Myripristis murdjan (pinecone soldierfish) is the source of this 152-nucleotide long non-coding RNA. RefSeq lists it as uncharacterized. Lineage: Eukaryota; Metazoa; Chordata; Actinopteri; Holocentriformes; Holocentridae. The record is from RefSeq and is a predicted model, not a curated record. The transcript has 2 exons.
GUGAAUGGGCUAGAGAUGAAGAACAGGAUGGGUGGGGAAUAUUGGGAAGAUAUUGAAUGCAUGAAAAAUAGAAGUCAGAAGGAAAAGGGGAUAUGAGGGCAUUGGAGUAAUGGAUUUGCAAUCAACUUUUUCCUCUGACUGGAUUUGUUCUC